UGUUUUAAUUAAAAUUUAACUUUUUUUUUUUUUUUCUAAGCAGAAAAGAAGGUUUCAGUAAAGAAAGUCUCCAAAAAGGUGGUUAAAAAGGGUCCUGAAGACAUCCAACCACCUAAAGUUCCUGAGGUUCUGCCAGAGAAGCCCAAAGAGGUCAAAAUAACAUCUAUGGCAAGGAGAGAAGAGAUUCAUGAAGAAAAAAUGGAAAUAUAUGAAAAGUCCAAAGAGCCUUAUGAAGAAUGGGAAGAAGAUUAUGGAGAAGAGCAUGAUUAUUAUUUCAGGGAAGAAGGUUAUGAUGAAGGGGAAGAAGAAUGGGAAGAAGCUUAUGAGAAAAGAGAAGUGGCUUAUGAAGAAACACGAGUCAUUCAUGAAGAAGUGGCUGAAGUUCCUAAGAAGCCUGUUCCUGAGCAGAAGCCUCCAGCAAUUACAGCAGAAAAGAAAGAAAAGAAAGAAGUAACAGUUCGUAAAGUUGUCAAGAAACCUGUUGAAGAAAAAGUUGAGAUUACCACUCAGAGGGUCGCAGAAGAAAAAGUCAAACAGGCUGAGGUACCGACAGUAGAAACAUGGACUGUUUCAGAAGAAAAGAUGUCGGUUUCUGUCCACAGAGAAGAAGAGUACUCAUAUGUCACAGAGCCAGCAGAGCAUGAGAAGACAGUUGAAGAAAGAUUCUUUGAAGCUGUUUACCCAAUUGAAGCACGUAAGGAAGUCAAAGAGGAGGAAGAAGAAGAAGAGGUCAUUUCUGCAGAACUGGAGAUCCCUCAUGAUGAAGUGCCUGAGAUACCAGAGAGGCAUGUAUCAGAAGAAAGAAAGCCUGUUCCUGUCCCAAAAGAAGUUCCACCAGCUAAAGUUCCUGAGGUACCUAAGAAACACGUUCCAGAAAAGAAAGUUGCUGUUACUAGAAAGGAAGUGGCUCCCCCAGCAAAAGGUACAGCAUCUUUUGAAAGUGGACUUUUACCAGUCCUGUACUAUUGUUCUAACUUCUAAAUAUAUGUAGACUUUGUGUGCUAUGUUAUAUGUCUGUUCUCACCUAAGACAAAUUCAAAAACACUGGAAAGAUUACUGAAACACAUUUUAAUAUCUUUAAAGUGCCUGAAGUGCCUAAAAAACCUGUUCCUGAAGAAAAAGUACACGUUCCUGUUCCUAGAGAAGAACUUCCACCUGCCAAAGGUAUACUUGGUGAUGGACUAUACAUGUACCUCUUAAAUAUCUGUUUCUGUU
Molecule: long non-coding RNA, 1215 nt
Filed under: Anser brachyrhynchus (Pink-footed goose)
Lineage: Eukaryota; Metazoa; Chordata; Aves; Anseriformes; Anatidae
Description: lncRNA (ENSABRG00000004018.1)
Source: RNAcentral